AGCAGCAGCCACGGUAAUACGAAGGGGGCUAGCGUUGUUCGGAAUUACUGGGCGUAAAGCGCACGUAGGCGGAUACUUAAGUCAGGGGUGAAAUCCCAGAGCUCAACUCUGGAACUGCCUUUGAUACUGGGUAUCUUGAGUAUGGAAGAGGUGAGUGGAAUUCCGAGUGUAGAGGUGAAAUUCGUAGAUAUUCGGAGGAACACCAGUGGCGAAGGCGGCUCACUGGUCCAUUACUGACGCUGAGGUGCGAAAGCGUGGGGAGCAAACAGGAUUAGAUACCCCUGUAGUCCCUGUCUCUUAUAC
Molecule: ribosomal RNA, 303 nt
Filed under: uncultured bacterium
Lineage: Bacteria
Description: partial 16S ribosomal RNA
Rfam family: Bacterial small subunit ribosomal RNA
Source: RNAcentral